RNAcentral lists this transfer RNA (61 nucleotides) under Ornithodoros rostratus. Its description in RNAcentral is "tRNA-Phe". The record is from RNAcentral. Lineage: Eukaryota; Metazoa; Arthropoda; Arachnida; Ixodida; Argasidae.
AUUCUUAUAGUUUAAGUUUUAAAAUAUAAUAUUGAAAAUAUUAAGAUAUUUUUUAAGAGUA